AUUGAACGCUGGCGGCAGGCCUAACACAUGCAAGUCGAACGAGUGGCGGACGGGUGCGUAAUGUCUGGGAAACUGCCUGAUGGAGGGGGAUAACUACUGGAAACGGUAGCUAAUACCACAUACCAUCAGAUGUGCCCAGAUGGGAUUAGCUAGUUGGUGGGGUAACGGCUCACCAAGGCGACGAUCCCUAGCUGGUCUGAGAGGAUGACCAGCCACACUGGAACCGUGACACGGUCCAGCAUCCUACGUGAGGCAGCAGUGGGGAAUAUUGCACAAUGGGCGUAAGCCUGAUGCAGCUAUGCCGAGUGUAUGAAGAAGUCAUUCGGGUUGUAAAGUACUUUCAGCGGGGAGGCGGUACCCGCAGAAGAAGCACCGGCUAACUCCGUGCCAGCAGCGGCGGUAAUAC
This 406-nucleotide ribosomal RNA is filed under the name uncultured bacterium. Its description in RNAcentral is "partial 16S ribosomal RNA". It matches the Rfam family "Bacterial small subunit ribosomal RNA", at positions 30 to 526 of the family's 1533-position model. The record is from RNAcentral.